UCUCCCCCAAGUCUCGGGUGAGAUCACCACGGAGCGGCUUAGCGCGGCGCACAAGUCUCGCGAGAGAAGCGGCGGCUGGGCCCUGCAGGCGGAGGAAGUGGAAAAAGUCGCGGGAGGGUAGGGGACCGCGGAACUUCUGGUUGCUAUGACGACGGCAAAGCCCUGGAUUCCUGUCUCCUGCGGAGAGCAGAGGCUGCAAACGCAUCCGCAGACGCCUUUAUACGUACUCCAAAAUGCUAGUAAGGAUGAAGAUGAACUCUCCUCAGCCCGUGUCUUUUAACUGUAGAAACUUUUCUGAGACUAGUCUCACUCUGUUGCCCAGGCUGGAGUGCAGUGGCGCGAUCUCAGCUUACUUCAGCCUCCGCCUCCCGGUUUCAAGUGAAUUCUCCAGCCUCAACUUCACAAGUAGCUGGGAUUACAGGGCAUUCAAGCAGCCCUGAGGAGAGGUCCACAUGGUGAGCCACUGAGGGCCUUGCCAAGAGCCAGCACCAACGGUCCAGGUUUGGAGUGUACCACCUUGGAAGUGAAUCUUCCAGUCCAGUCAAGCCUUCAGAUGACUUCAGAACCGUCCAUGUAAGCCACUCUUGGAUUCCUGACCCACAGAAACUGUUGGAGGCAUUAUCAACAGUUUCUAACAUCACAGACAGACAAACAUGUGCCUCCUGAUUGAAAAAACAGAACAUCACCUGUAGUCUUGCCAGUGAGAUCAAACUGAAGUCCAAUUAACCUCUGGAUCCAGCUGCCAAUUUGCAGGAAAUAGAGGAGAGAAGCAUCUGUUGAACUGCACCAUGAGUAUACACUCAGCAAAGGCCAAACUGUGGAAAAUGAUACAGGUCAAACAGCCUGGAUUCUUUAACAGUAAGUGAUGUUUCUGAAGCACCAAUGAAAAUGAAGUCCUGAAGUCCUGUGCUCAAUAUGAAAUGUUGGAAGUUAGAAGAAAAAAACAAAACUUGGAUCCAAUCUCAAGGCACUUUUUGUUUAAUGGGAAGAAGUGGAUUAUUUUAAAAGCUACAAAUAAAGUUACAUAAAAGUA
RNAcentral lists this long non-coding RNA (1033 nucleotides) under Homo sapiens (human). RNAcentral describes it as "HSALNT0377860". The record is from RNAcentral. Lineage: Eukaryota; Metazoa; Chordata; Mammalia; Primates; Hominidae.